Molecule: ribosomal RNA, 244 nt
Filed under: uncultured Lactobacillus sp.
Lineage: Bacteria; Bacillati; Bacillota; Bacilli; Lactobacillales; Lactobacillaceae
Description: partial 16S ribosomal RNA
Rfam family: Bacterial small subunit ribosomal RNA
Source: RNAcentral
UAACCUGCCCAAGAGAUCGGGAUAACACCUGGAAACAGAUGCUAAUACCGGAUAACAACAGAUGAUGCCUAUCAACUGUUUAAAAGAUGGUUCUGCUAUCACUCUUGGAUGGACCUGCGGUGCAUUAGCUAGUUGGUAGGGUAACGGCCUACCAAGGCGAUGAUGCAUAGCCGAGUUGAGAGACUGAUCGGCCGACAUUUGGGACGUGAGACGACGGCCCAAACUCCUACGGGAGGCAGCAGUU